ACUCCUACGGGAGGCAGCAGUGGGGAAUAUUGCACAAUGGGCGCAAGCCUGAUGCAGCAACGCCGCGUGAGCGAUGAAGGCCUUCGGGUCGUAAAGCUCUGUCCUCAAGGAAGAAUAAAUGACGGUACUUGAGGAGGAAGCCCCGGCUAACUACGUGCCAGCAGCCGCGGUAAUACGUAGGGGGCAAGCGUUAUCCGGAAUCACUGGGGCGUAAAGGGGUGCGUAGGCGGUUUUUCAAGUCAGAAGUGAAAGGCUAUGGCUCAACCAUAGUAAGCUUUUGAAACUGUUAAAACUUGAGUGCAGGAGAGGAAAGUGGAAUUCCUAGUGUAGAGGUGAAAUUCGUAGAUAUUAGGAGGAACACCAGUGGCGAAGGCGAC
This 377-nucleotide ribosomal RNA is filed under the name uncultured bacterium. RNAcentral describes it as "bacterial SSU rRNA". It matches the Rfam family "Bacterial small subunit ribosomal RNA", at positions 335 to 725 of the family's 1533-position model. The record is from RNAcentral.